RNAcentral lists this long non-coding RNA (730 nucleotides) under Neodiprion lecontei (redheaded pine sawfly). RNAcentral's name for it is "uncharacterized LOC107225813". Lineage: Eukaryota; Metazoa; Arthropoda; Insecta; Hymenoptera; Diprionidae. The record is from RNAcentral.
AUAAUAAUAGUAACGUGUAACUAAUUACAGCGAAACGAAUUUACAGCCGCGCCAACUUAUCUAACAUGCAUCUCUAUAUUCGGAGCGUUGAGGGAAAUGGUAUAAAAGCCGAAAUAGAUCGGCGAGAAAUCGUCAGGCGUAUAUUUCGCGGUUCGCUAAAAGCAUAUUGUCAGAAUCGCAUUUGCAAUCGGUGCCGGAUACUUUGUCAAAAUGAUUAAGUUGAUUACUAUUCUUCUGCUCGCCGUCGCGCUUUUCGCUUCCUCGUCGAUGGCUCAGAAUGGCGGCAAUAACGGUGGAAACGGUGGUGGAGGUUUGGGAAAUGGAGGUGGCCAAGGAGGAGGAGGAGGAGGUCAACCAGGAGGUGGAAUCGGUGGACUUGGAGGUCAAGGAAAUGGAGACGGCGGAAUCCUGGGAAGCAGCGGAUUUUCAGGACUGUCGGGGUUACUGGGAGGAUUCGGCAGGAGAUAAACGUGCGAUUACGAUCAUGAUCCUGGCUCUUCUCAAUCGAAAAUGGCGAUUCGUAAAUGAUAUGGAUAACGCAUGAAUCUGGACACGUCUUAAGAUUAGUGACUAGCUAUUUUUCUGCAGUAAUUAUAAUGCACACUGUCUUGUAAAGUCGAAAAUCUCGCAAUGUUUGAAAUUAAAAUAAAAAGGUGAAUAUUAUAAAUAAAAACGGACUACAAGUAUCUGUACCAUAUUCGAUACUUUUUAUAAAUCUCAAUACGAAAUA